UACAGAGGUGGCAAGCGUUGUUCGGAUUUAUUGGGUGUAAAGGGCAGGUAGGCGGCUUGGUAAGUCUGCUGUGAAAUCCAAGGGCUCAACCCUUGAACUGCAGUGGAAACUGCCUUGCUUGAGUACUGAAGGGGUAAGGGGAAUUCUCGGUGUAAGGGUGAAAUCUGUAGAUAUCGAGAGGAAUACCGAUGGCGAAGGCACCUUACUGGUCAGUAACUGACGCUGAACUGCGAAAGCUAGGGGAGCAAACAGG
RNAcentral lists this unclassified non-coding RNA (253 nucleotides) under uncultured bacterium. Its description in RNAcentral is "contains 16S-23S intergenic spacer region". It matches the Rfam family "Bacterial small subunit ribosomal RNA", at positions 524 to 776 of the family's 1533-position model. The record is from RNAcentral.